AUGUGGCGCACUUCUUUACCGGUGGCAGUGGUGGUGGUGGUGGCGGUGAUGGCGGUGAUGAUGGUGGGAGUCAACGCCAACCCACACCCAUACGGACUGAAUGUGCAGCUUCACCUAACGCGACGCUUCGGUGACGGAUGGAGUGUUCCUUAUUAUGGCGACACGAGCUUUGGUAACAGAGGAGGAGAAGGAGAAGAGUACGAGCAAUGAUACGACCACCUGUUCUCCACCACUCCACCAAUGACGACCUCUGGCUCCACCACCACCACACGACCACUAUGUAUACAUGUGUCUCCCUUCCCUCUACCCCUUCCACUAUUUCCCAUUCCUCCCUUUAACCACUCCGCUAAAUGUUAAAAUAUUAAUAUCAUAUCAUGUAAAUUUGUCAUAAUUAUAAGAUUUCUCUCUCUCUCUCUCUCUCUCUCUCUCUCUCUCUCUCUCUCUCUCUCUCUCU
Long non-coding RNA from Portunus trituberculatus (swimming crab), 454 nucleotides. RefSeq lists it as uncharacterized. NCBI's taxonomy places the organism in Eukaryota, Metazoa, Arthropoda, Malacostraca, Decapoda, Portunidae. The transcript is spliced from 3 exons. The record is from RefSeq and is a predicted model, not a curated record.